AAAUACUAAACCUAAAUAUAUCUAGUACAGAUAACUUGUCUAUCCAUGGAGGAUCUUCACUCCCAGGCAAGGGAGCUGCAAUCCAUGAAACGAACAUAUAGGCAUAAUAAAACACAGAGCCGGGGCUUUGCUACUGUUUCUGGACUACAAUUCCCACAAUCCCCAGCCAGAUUCAAGGAGUGGAAAUCCAAAACGGGGAACGUCCCUGAGCACGGAUAAAACGUUAGCCUCUUCAUGUGCCAUAUAGUCAUUGCCUAACGAAGCCCGUUAACAUUAGGAACGGGGAAACCUAACGGAAUGGGCUCCCUCCUCGUUCCUCCCGGCAUCACGGCAACGUUACUCGCGACCCGUUACUUCCCAGCUUUGUUCAAAAGUUGUUCCCGAAAUGUUGUUUUCGAAACAGUGGCGUCGCGGGAAUCCCGGGGGCGAACGAGCUUCUCUUGAAGUCCCUAGAACGACCCCUUCCAGCCAUCAUCACGCAACAACAACGACGACGACGACGACGGGCCUGUCCCUUUAAGACCCUUUCGGGCCCGCAGCCCAGGCGAGCCGGCCCGGGCCUCGCCCUGUGAGCCGCCCGAAGCUUCUUCCCCGCUGCUGGUUUGUUUUCCUGCCGCCGCAAAAAUGAGUUUUUAAUUCGUGGUUCCUCGCCCAGCCCGCGACUUUUUUCCGAGUUGCGCCAGAGAUUCCCGAGAGAAGCCCCUUGGUCUCCCCUGGAGGAAAUUUGGAAAUCGUCGUUUUCCUGGAAGCAAAGGGAAAAGAAAAAACAGAUUCUCUCUGCAUUCCACUCCGGGAGCCUCCAAGCACACAGCUGGGUUGGGAGCUCGCAAAGAAAAUGGAGCAUGAAAUGGAGGCCGUGGCGGAAGGAGGGACGGUAAUGUGCGGUGAUCCGGACUCUGACACCAGAACCGCCGGAGCGCAGGUUCAGCCAUGUUCUCAGGAUGACCUCAGUGUCCUCCGAAACCAGGGCGCUUGUUUGCGUUCACGGCAGAAAAU
This 996-nucleotide long non-coding RNA is filed under the name Pogona vitticeps (central bearded dragon). Its description in RNAcentral is "lncRNA (ENSPVIG00000010819.1)". The record is from RNAcentral. Lineage: Eukaryota; Metazoa; Chordata; Lepidosauria; Squamata; Agamidae.